AGUGGCGAACGGGUGAGUAACAUGUGAGCAACCUGCCCCUGGCUCUGGGAUAGCCUCCGGAAACGGGGAUUAAUACCGGACAUGACCUGCUCCUGCAUGGGGGCGGGUGGAAAGUUUUUCGGCCGGGGAGGGGCUCGCGGCCUAUCAGCUUGUUGGGGGGGUAACGGCCCACCAAGGCGACGACGGGUAGCCGGCCUGAGAGGGCGACCGGCCACACUGGGACUGAGACACGGCCCAGACUCCUACGGGAGGCAGCAGUGGGGAAUAUUGCACAAUGGGCGGAAGCCUGAUGCAGCGACGCCGCGUGCGGGAUGAAGGCCUUCGGGUUGUAAACCGCUUUCAGCAGGGGCGAAUUUGACGGUACCUGCAGAAGAAGCGCCGGCUAACUACGUG
Molecule: ribosomal RNA, 393 nt
Filed under: uncultured bacterium
Lineage: Bacteria
Description: bacterial SSU rRNA
Rfam family: Bacterial small subunit ribosomal RNA
Source: RNAcentral